CUAGCCAGCGCCAGAAUUAAACCUCAGAACGCAGCGCAUCCACCCGGGCCCCGCAGCCAAGGCAAAGGCGAAGAAGUCGGGCGAGAGUGGGAAGCCUCAGACGGCAGGUGCUUGAGCGGGACAGUCUCCCAGGUAGCCAGAAACUUGCCGCGGUUCUCUGGACUGGCAUUGUGUCCUCCGUGAGUUCGCUCCUGCUCCUCAAGACAGAAUCCUGGGUGGAAAGGAGAGGAUUCGUGUCCAGGAGGUUUGAGGUUUGGGGUACUCCAAAGACGACGCAGUGCCUGCCUCCGAAGCUGAGGACCGAGCUAAGACGGUACUCGAUUCAGAGCAAUCUCACUGGGUGCAAGAGACCGAGUCUUCUUUCACAUUGAAGAUUUUAAUAAACAGGACAAGGACCGACUUUAUAAAAACCAAGAAUAACCAAGACAAAAAACAUUAAUGCCAGCUCUCUAAUGCCAACCUCCCUGAUUUUCUUGGGGGAGGGAGGAGGGCUCUCCCUAGCUUCUAGUACUGCACACACCCAGCGGGGCCUUAAACAUGUGACAGUAUAUUUGCAAGUAGGUUAAAGUGAAGAGUCAUUAAACCUCACAAGGUGAAAUGCUGGCCUCUGAAGAAAAGAAGCCGUGAAAUCAAUGCUUCCCUACCUGUUGGUGGCAAAGAACACCUGCAAAUUCCUGAAAUUGAUGACCCCUGCCUGUUAAGAGGACAGGCAAAGGGCAGCUCAAAGAUAACGCAGACAAGAAAUCUUAUUUUUAGUCUUAGCUCCUUUGCCAGCUCACCAGGUGACAGUAAUCGAAUUGUUCCUUCUGGGCCUCAGUUUCUUCAUCUGUAGAAUAGGGUAUAUGGAUUCAGUGGGUCAUCUCUUAAAUCUCAACCCGCAAAUGUCUAUAAUUCUAUGAAAAAAAUACUUCUUCCCAAGGUAAUGAGAGGGGAGGGGAGAAUCAGGCAGGAGCGUUCCUGCAUACACGAAAUACCCUGCACAUUUAGUAAGUAUUCCUAUUUCCUUACAUUUAGUAAGUAUUUCAUAGGCCUCAAAAGUAAGCAAACCUAAUCAAAAAAGUAUGGUAGAUUUUUCAGGGGAUUUAUAUUAAAAAUUUACUUCAUUCUUAGUAAUGUUUUUUAUGGAGAUACAAUUCACAUACUGUAUAAUUUAAUCUUAAACUGUAUAAUUCAAUGAUUUUGAAUAUAUUCACAAAAUUAGGUAACUAUCGCCACUAUCAUUCCAAUAAAAAAUCCAUUAUAGUUUUUCCCUAGCCCUCACUACCCUUAGCUCCAGACAACCACUAAUCCACUUUCCCUCUUUAUGGAUUUGCCUAUUCUGGACAUUACUUAUAAAUAGAAACACAAUAUGUAGCUUUCGGGUCUGGCUUCUUAAAUUUAACAAUAUUUUCAAGGUUCAUCCAUGCUGUAGCAUGUAUCAGUACUUCAUUCCCUUUUAUAGCCGAAUAAUAUUCCAUUUUUGGAUAAUACCACACUUUGAUUAUCUAGUCAUACCUUGAAAGACAUUUUGGACUAUUUCUAUUUUUUGGCUCUUAUGAAUAAUGCUGCUAUGAACAUUUAUGUACAAGUUUUCAUGUAAACAUGUUUUCAUUUCUUGAGUAUAUAUCUAGAAGUAGAAUUUCUUGGCUAAAUGAUAACUCUAUAAUUAACUUUUUGAGGAACUAACAAGCCUUUCACAGUGGAUGUACUAUUUUACAUUCCCUUUAUAAGGGUUCUAAUUUCUCCAAAUCCUUGACAACAGUUGUUAUUGUCAUAUUUUUAAUUGUAUGUAUCCUAGUGGGUAUAAAGUAGUAUCUGGUGGUUUUCAUUUGCAUUUCCUUAAUGACUAAUAAUGUUGAGCAUCUUUUCAUAUCUUUAUUAGCUAUUUGUAUAUCUUCUCUGGAGAAAUGUCUAUUCAAUCCUUUGCCCAUUUUUAAAUUGGGUUAUGUGUCAUUUUAUUGUUGCAUUGUAAUGGGACUUAUUUAUAUCUGAUAAGUGAUGCCAGUCCUUUAUCUGGUACAUGAUUUGUAAAUUUUUCUCCCAUUCCGUGAGUUGCCUUUUCACUUUCUUGAUAAUGUCCCUUGAAACUCAUACUUUUUAAUUUGGUAGUCAUAUAUUUUUACAAUAUAACAUAAACUUACACUUAUAAGCUAACACAAGAGUUUUUCAGACUAAAAGUAAUGCAUGCCUAUUUUAAGAAAAACUUUGGAAAAAUAUUAAAAAGGAUAAAGAAAAAAUAA
Pteropus alecto (black flying fox) is the source of this 2219-nucleotide long non-coding RNA. RefSeq lists it as uncharacterized. NCBI's taxonomy places the organism in Eukaryota, Metazoa, Chordata, Mammalia, Chiroptera, Pteropodidae. The record is from RefSeq and is a predicted model, not a curated record. The transcript has 2 exons.